This 71-nucleotide transfer RNA is filed under the name Streptomyces subrutilus. RNAcentral describes it as "tRNA-Tyr". The record is from RNAcentral. Lineage: Bacteria; Bacillati; Actinomycetota; Actinomycetes; Kitasatosporales; Streptomycetaceae.
CGGGCGUGUGGGCCGGCUUGGCCUGGCCCUUGUACGUGGCGUUGGGCGUGAGCACGGCGCGCUCGCCCGGC